GGCAGCACGAGGUGAAGGUGCUUUACCAGUAGUUAUAGGCUGGCUCCAGGUAAAUGUUUCAGUAUCUAAAAUAUGUACAUGAUCAUUCCAUCCUCUUGGAUGACUUGAAUUCCAAAAAGAUGUUUCAUCGAAUUCAAAAGUUCCCAAUACUUUAUCUUCAGGCAAAUAUCCAUACCCUCCAAAAAAUAUUAACUUGUUUUUAUAUACCCAGACACCAAG
Molecule: unclassified non-coding RNA, 219 nt
Filed under: Hevea brasiliensis (rubber tree)
Lineage: Eukaryota; Viridiplantae; Streptophyta; Magnoliopsida; Malpighiales; Euphorbiaceae
Source: RNAcentral